GUCCUCACGGUAUUAAUAUGAGGUCAGGCCUGCCCACUGAUGAUUAAUUUUAAGGGCCGCGAUAUAUUAAUCGUGCGAAGGUAGCAUAGUCAAUAGUCUUUUAAUUGGAGGCUUGAAUGAACGGUCGGACAUGAGGAAAUCUGUCUUAGCUUAGAGAGAUGAAUUUAACUUUGGUGUGAGAAGGCAUUAAUGGUUUGGGGGGACGAUAAGACCCUAUAAAACUUUAUAAUUAAUCAUUUUGUUUUCGAUAUUGGAGUAAGGAGAAAUUGAGUGGUGUUUAUUUCGCUGGGGCGGCGAGAAUAUAAUUUAUAUAACUGUUCUUUGAAUUAAAAUAACUAUGGCUAGAUUAUGAUCUUGAAUUUUGGAUUAAAAGUGUAAGUUACUUUAGGGAUAACAGCGUUAUUUCUCUUGAGAGUUCAUAUCGACAGAGAUGUUUGCGACCUCGAUGUUGAAUUAAAACUUCUUUUGGGAGCAGAAAUCCAAAUGGUAGGUCUGUUCGACCUUUAAAGUUUUACAUGAUUUGAGUUCAAACCGGUGUGAG
This 541-nucleotide ribosomal RNA is filed under the name Racilius compressus. RNAcentral describes it as "partial large subunit ribosomal RNA". It matches the Rfam family "Bacterial large subunit ribosomal RNA", at positions 1829 to 2625 of the family's 2925-position model. The record is from RNAcentral. Lineage: Eukaryota; Metazoa; Arthropoda; Malacostraca; Decapoda; Alpheidae.